Molecule: ribosomal RNA, 497 nt
Filed under: uncultured bacterium
Lineage: Bacteria
Description: partial 16S ribosomal RNA
Rfam family: Bacterial small subunit ribosomal RNA
Source: RNAcentral
GAUGAACGCUGGCGGCGUGCCUAAUACAUGCAAGUCGAGCGAACAGACGCGGAGCUUGCUCCUCUGACGUUAGCGGCGGACGGGUGAGUAACACGUGGAUAACCUACCUAUAAGACUGGGAUAACUUCGGGACACCGGAGCUAAUACCGGAUAAUAUAUUGAACCGCAUGGUUCAAUAGUGAAAGACGGUUUUGCUGUCUCUUAUCGCUGGAUACGCGCCGCAUUAGCUAGUUGGUAAGGUAAAGGCUUACCAAGGCAACGAUGCGUAGCCGAGCUGAGAGGGUGAUCGGCCACACUGGAACUUGGACACGGUCCAUACGCCUACGGGAGGCAGCAGUAGGGAAUCUUCCGCAAUGGGCGAAAGCCUGACGGAGCAACGCCGCGUGAGUGAUGAAGGUCUUCGGAUCGUAAAACUCUGUUAUUAGGGAAGAACAAAUGUGUAAGUAACUAUGCACGUCUUGACGGUACCUAAUCAGAAAGCCACGGCUAACUACGUG